AGUUUAUGAUAAAACCAUAUGUUGGUAAGCUGCCAUGGUUUGUACCUCGAGUAAGAAACACUCCUACAUAGACACAGAAUAAGGAUCCAUACAGAAGGGCCACUUACGUCGGAAGCUUUGAAGUUUCUGUCCUCGCGCAUGUCGCGUUACGCAUGUUGGCCGCCAUUUUCCGCAUUCUGGCCAGUAAUGGACCAUUCCCCAAUUAACCAAAAUUUUGAUCUCAACAAGUCUAGACAAAAUUCCAUCAUAGCAUGAAAGAGCAUCACAAAAUUAGUAAUAUUCCAAAGUUUCGUUGCGAAAUGUUGUAAAAUGCGGAUAAUAUAGCCUUGCGAAAUUUGCAAUUUUUAGUCAUUUUAAAUUACAAACGUGAAAUGGUUACCACUUUUCCAAAAUUUUGAUCUUAACUAGCC
Molecule: non-coding RNA, 410 nt
Organism: Paramuricea clavata
Lineage: Eukaryota; Metazoa; Cnidaria; Anthozoa; Malacalcyonacea; Plexauridae
Source: the annotation of a GenBank genome assembly